AUACAAAAUUCCACACGUGGAAAACUUUAUUCCCAUAUAAAAGAAGUUUACAACCCAUAGGGCAGUCAUCCUUCACGCUACUUGGCUGGUUCAGGCCUGCGCCCAUUGACCAAUAUUCCU
This 120-nucleotide ribosomal RNA is filed under the name uncultured bacterium. Its description in RNAcentral is "16S ribosomal RNA". The record is from RNAcentral.